This 24-nucleotide microRNA is filed under the name Apis mellifera (honey bee). RNAcentral describes it as "ame-miR-279b-3p". Its record names the gene ame-miR-279b-3p. RNAcentral also lists the same sequence under 1 other name. The record is from miRBase by way of RNAcentral. Lineage: Eukaryota; Metazoa; Arthropoda; Insecta; Hymenoptera; Apidae.
UGACUAGAUCGAAAUACUCGUCCC